AGGGUAUAGCUUGAGGUUGAGGCAGAGAGAUUUUGUUGAUCUUGAUCUAGUUCUUCAUCGGGAAGGUAGGAUUCCUCGGAGCAAAGGAAAACUAGUGUUUGCUUUUUUCGUGGAAGUGAGAUAAGUACUUCCUUGGGAAGGGAGUACUUAUCGGAGUAAAGGAAAGCACGUUGAUCGGGUUGUUAAAAGGGUUAGUCCUGGGAAAGUUAGCGAUGUUGCCAUCGGAGUUACGUGUACGGGGAUACGUAUAUUGAGAAAAAAGGCCAAGAAGGCAUGUUUUCGAAGCUAGAGCAUAGGAGUUUGGAACCCUGAACAGACCGCCGGUGUUAAGCCGGAGGAAGGGGAGGAUGAGGCCAAGUCAUCAUGCCCCUUAUACCCUGGGCAACACACGUGCUACAAUGGGCGGGACAAAGGGUCGCGAUCUCGCGAGGGUGAGCUAACUCCAAAAACCCGUCCUCAGUUCGGAUUGCAGGCUGCAACUCGCCUGCAUGAAGCAGGAAUCGCUAGUAAUCGCCGGUCAGCCAUACGGCGGUGAAU
This is a non-coding RNA of Oryza glumipatula, 537 nucleotides long. The record is from Rfam. Lineage: Eukaryota; Viridiplantae; Streptophyta; Magnoliopsida; Poales; Poaceae.